Molecule: transfer RNA, 71 nt
Filed under: Methanohalophilus mahii DSM 5219
Lineage: Archaea; Methanobacteriati; Methanobacteriota; Methanomicrobia; Methanosarcinales; Methanosarcinaceae
Also listed under: 1 other name
Description: tRNA-Cys (GCA) (tRNA-Cys-GCA-3-1)
Rfam family: tRNA
About the family: Transfer RNA (tRNA) molecules are approximately 80 nucleotides in length. Their secondary structure includes four short double-helical elements and three loops (D, anti-codon, and T loops).
Source: Rfam by way of RNAcentral
GGCUGGAUGGCAGAGUGGUUAUGCAACCGACUGCAGAUCGGUAUAGGUGAGUUCAAUUCUCACUCCAGCCU